CAACAGGGAUUGCCCCAGUAACGGCGAGUGAAGCGGCAACAGCUCAAAUUUGAAAUCUGGCCCCUCCCACGGGGGGGCCCGAGUUGUAAUUUGCAGAGGAUGCUUCUGGCGAGGUGCCUUCCGAGUUCCCUGGAACGGGACGCCACAGAGGGUGAGAGCCCCGUCUGGUCGGACACCGAGCCUCUGUGAAGCUCCUUCGACGAGUCGAGUAGUUUGGGAAUGCUGCUCUAAAUGGGAGGUAUAUGUCUUCUAAAGCUAAAUACCGGCCAGAGACCGAUAGCGCACAAGUAGAGUGAUCGAAAGAUGAAAAGCACUUUGAAAAGAGGGUUAAACAGUACGUGAAAUUGUUGAAAGGGAAGCGCUCACGACCAGACCUGGUCCCGGCGAAUCACCCGGCGUUCUCGCCGGUGCACUUCGGCGGGCUUCCAGGCCAGCAUCAGUCCGCGCCGGGGGACAAAGGCGGUGGGAACGUGGCUCCCCAGGGAGUGUUAUAGCCCGCCGCGCAAUGCCCCGGGGGCGGACUGAGGACCGCGCGUCUACCGCAAGGAUGCUGGCGUAAUGGUCGUCAGCGACCCGUCUUGAAACACGGACCAAGGAGUCGUCCUCGUAUGCGAGUGUUGGGGCGUCAAACCCCCCGCGCGUAAUGAAAGUGAACGGCAGGUGAGAGCCCUCGCGGGCGCAUCAUCGACCGAUCCUGAUGUUCUCGGAUGGAUUUGAGUAGGAGCAUACGGGGCCGGACCCGAAAGAAGGUGAACUAUGCCUGUGUAGGGUGAAGCCAGAGGAAACUCUGGUGGAGGCUCGCAGCGGUUCUGACGUGCAAAUCGAUCGUCAAACAUGGGCAUGGGGGCGAAAGACUAU
RNAcentral lists this ribosomal RNA (858 nucleotides) under Hypocrella calendulina. RNAcentral describes it as "eukaryotic LSU rRNA". It matches the Rfam family "Eukaryotic large subunit ribosomal RNA", at positions 66 to 934 of the family's 3401-position model. Lineage: Eukaryota; Fungi; Ascomycota; Sordariomycetes; Hypocreales; Clavicipitaceae. The record is from RNAcentral.